This 1703-nucleotide long non-coding RNA is filed under the name Callithrix jacchus (white-tufted-ear marmoset). RNAcentral describes it as "lncRNA (ENSCJAG00000059240.2)". Lineage: Eukaryota; Metazoa; Chordata; Mammalia; Primates; Cebidae. The record is from RNAcentral.
AAUCUGGGACCUCAGGUGACCUGUCAGCUAAAGGGUGCGAUGUGACUUCUUCGUGUGGUUUUGGACUUCCUCACAACAUGGUGGCCUUGAGAUGGUUGGAAUUCUUACAGGGUGUCUCAGGGCUCAAAGCAUGAGAGCUCCAGUAAACAAAAGGAAAGCUUUAUGGCCUUGACGGCUCAGCUUCUGAAGCUACGCAGCAUCAUUUUUGGUAUUCUGGUAUUUUUCCUGUUGAUCCACUCUGUCCUGCUUUAGUUAUUAUGGAUGUUUGAUGGCUUCUGUGGAAAAUAAUGAAAUAAUCCCCCAGUCAGAAGGAUUCUGAGCUUUCCUAACAGUGAAAAUUACCUGGUGCUGGAUCUUUCCGAGUGCUCGCCAAGGCAGACUGUUGAGGAAGAAGCACACUCUGUUGGGGUCCAGCAGAUCUUGGCUCUGGUCAGCCCUUGCUUAGUCAAAUGUGACCUUGGCUAAAGACCUUAGUAGAAUCUGUGUUUUCUUGUCUGUGAAGUGGACGUCGUAAUUCCUGCUUCAUGAUGUCACAGAGUUUUCGUAAAGAUCAAAAAAGGCGUCCCCACCCAGACCCCAACAGAGGGUUCGUGGAUCUCUCUCAAGAAAGAAUUCAAGGCGAGUCCAGAGUGCAAAGCAAAAGCAAGUUUAUUAAGAAAGCACAGUGGUGAGAGGACAGCUACUCCAUAGCCAGCAUAGGACGUUUCUGAGAGCAAGAGGAGGAGUGCGUCCACCCCCGGUACCAUGCUGGACAUAUGGCCCUCCUGCAAAGAUAGCGUACAUAAUUCACAAGCUCCCUGCUCACCAUCAAGCACCUCCAUUUAUCAGACACCCGGGCUGAAAGAAGAAUGCAAGUUAAGCUUCCUGCUGCCUUGUUGUUCUCAAUCAGCUGAGUUCCGUUCUAUGAAAUCCUCAGCAAGCCUUUGUCUCCCAGCAGUUGGCUCCUCUUCUACUGACCCUGCCUAUUGUCUCCUUGCAAUGUAUUUUCCUGCUUUCUCUAAUAAAUCUGCCUUUCUCUACCAACGACUGUCUUUUUGUUUUUGUUUUUGAGACGGAGUCUCUGUCUUCCAGACUGGAAGGCAGUGGUGUAAUCUCAUCUCCCUGCAACCUCUGUCUCUUGUGUUCAAGUGAUUCUCCUGCCUCAGCCUCCUGAGUAGCUGGGAUUACAGGCGCCCACCACCACGUCCGACUAAGUUUUGUAUUUUUAGUAGAGACAGGGUUUCACCCUGUUAGCCACGCUGGUCUCGAACUCCUGACCUCAGGUGAUCUGCCUGCCUUGGCCUCCCACAGUAUUGGAUUGCACGCUUGAGCCACUGCGCCCGGGUAUCCUACAACUGUCUUGGUAAAUUCUUUUACUCUGGCGCCACCAGGCCCAAAGAGUCGUUGCUCCCCGUGACCCCAUGCUCUUCAGUUUCCUCUUGGUUUUGUCGUCUUAGGGAGAAGUCAGGAGAAAGGUCGGCUCUGACUGGGUUGAGUUGACAGAUUUUUGCCUUUAGCUUCCAAAGAUGAUGAUAAGAACCCAAAGGGAGAGUCACCCGCGGUAUAACACUGAGAACCCUGGACUGAGGUCAGAAGUCUCUGCAGAGCUUUCUUUACCAAUGUUAAGAUGUAAUGACCAUUUUGAAAGUGAAUAAUUGUUAUUAAAAGAGAAGUGAUAUCCUCAUUCUUCUAUUUGGUUUUCCUUCACUACUGUUGUUAAUGGC